This 75-nucleotide transfer RNA is filed under the name bacterium. RNAcentral's name for it is "tRNA-Asp". It matches the Rfam family "tRNA". Rfam says of the family: Transfer RNA (tRNA) molecules are approximately 80 nucleotides in length. Their secondary structure includes four short double-helical elements and three loops (D, anti-codon, and T loops). RNAcentral also lists the same sequence under 1 other name. The record is from RNAcentral.
GGGGUCGUGGUGUAGCCUGGUAAACACGCCGGCCUGUCAAGCCGGAGAGCGCCAGUUCAAAUCUGGUCGGCCCCG